AGACCGUGAAAUUUUGAACAAGCAACUGUUGGGAUGGGCACACUUCUGUUGCUGUCUCAUUGCCAUUGGCAAUGCACCAGAGCUCCAUAAUGACAAGAUGGGGCACGCAAGCUUUGGCUAAAGAACAACAACAUGAAGGAACACUAUACAAGCCUAGAAGGAACAGGGUAGCAUCAUGUGAACAGAGAGGCCAACUUGAAGUUCUGCAGAAAAUGUGGGGACUCCCUGAAUUCCAAGCCAAAAUUCCAUGUCCAAAAGGCCCCGCUGGAGAAGAUCGCAAUUCAGAUAUGGCUACCUGAACAGAGAUGAGAGGUUUGCCUGACAACGAUCACAAAGCUUGGCUGAAAGGCUGGGUCCAGUAGUAGAAGAAGUAAAAAUGACUGCACUUGCUUUGAAUCAUAAAAGUGGAUCUGCCUGCAAAGAAAUAUAUUGAGCCUUUACCAGAUUGUUGCUUGUUACAAAUGAGUGAGGGACACUAGUUUCAACUGCUAUAUGAGUAUAUAUCUGGUAAAAAAAAGAAAAAAAAGUUUAAUUAUCAACAGAGGCUUAUCAGCAUGUGUUCAAGAAAGUAUAGUGUGUCUUCUGAAAUUGAAUGUAGUGUUGGUAGACAAGCCCUAGCUGUAGUGCACAGAGCACGGUAGUAUCAAUUUCUGAAGUAUAUUGACCUACCUUGAUCAGUGAUGCUCAAGAAACAUGAACAUAUGCAGAGUAUCGCAAAAUGGCUGUCUCUUCUAUACGCACGGAUACCUUCCAAGAUCAGAGUUCUUCAUACAACAAAGUCAACUAAGUAAAGAAGCUAUCUGACUAUCUACACAAGAGACAUGAAAACAUUUAUAUAGAUUGGAAUCUAAUAACAUAACUUAAAAAGCACAAGUCAGAGAGAAAGGAUGGAGAAAUAAUAUUACAAAUUACACAGUUCCAUUGUUUCUUGAACCUUAUGCUAUACAUACCGGAAUGAGUAAAAUAGAUAAAAUAGAUGGAUGGGUGAGUAAAUAAAUGGAGAAGUUUCUCUCCCAUGAAAUUUGCAAUCUAAACUUCAGAUAUUGAUGGAGAAGAAGGUAAUGAGCUGAGGGAUAUAAAAAGCAAGUUUUAUAUACCUGAACUGAAAUAUCAGUUUCUGGAAUGAACAUAUAGUUAUCACUACCUCCCAAUAUUAAAAGAAUUGUGUGAUCAGUUUUAAAAGCAAAUCCUGAAGAAGAAUGUCUAGUAAAAUCUUGUAUGUGUGAAGCUAAAUUGAAAUUGUGUGACAAAA
Molecule: long non-coding RNA, 1252 nt
Organism: Crotalus tigris (Tiger rattlesnake)
Lineage: Eukaryota; Metazoa; Chordata; Lepidosauria; Squamata; Viperidae
Exons: 3
Source: RefSeq, a predicted model, not a curated record